Molecule: transfer-messenger RNA, 345 nt
Filed under: bovine gut metagenome
Rfam family: transfer-messenger RNA
About the family: Bacterial tmRNA, also known as 10Sa RNA or SsrA, is named for its dual tRNA and mRNA-like properties. Its role is to liberate the mRNA from a stalled ribosome.
Source: RNAcentral
GGGGGUGUAAUAGAUUCGACGGGUAUCUGUUACUGCCCGGGGGCAGGUACUGGUUGGCCAGGCCAGUUAAAAUAGGGCUAAAAAAAUAACUAACGACAAUCAAGUCGCUUGGGCUAACGCUUAGUCCACUGCCGCUUAGGUGCUUUUCACACAUCUAAGCAAGGCAGUCAUCAUGUGAAAUGCAGUACACAAGGCGCGUUUCGUCCGCGUGUAAAUAAGACCAUACGAAACAACUUACUUCGUUGCUGCCGCACGCUUACGGAGUAAGUAUCAAGUGCGGCUAAACCUGUAGGACCUAAGCGGUUAGGAUGUUCGGACGGGGGUGCGAAUCCCCCCACCUCCACU